Molecule: ribosomal RNA, 287 nt
Filed under: Tritrichomonas suis
Lineage: Eukaryota; Parabasalia; Tritrichomonadida; Tritrichomonadidae
Description: partial 28S rRNA
Rfam family: Eukaryotic large subunit ribosomal RNA
Source: RNAcentral
AAGCGGAGGGAAAGAAACUAACUAGGAAUCUCUUAGUAAGUGCGACCGAAGAGAGUCAAGUUCGUUGACCUAAUCCCUCGGGAAAUGUGGUUGAGAGGUUCUCUGCCAUAGCGUAACUGGAGUCGAAUCUCCGGCUAUAAAGAGUUUAAGCCUCGUAGCUAUGGGCAAGCUAGGUCCUUGUAAACGAGUCGGGCAGCUUGAGAAUGCUGCCUAAGAUGGGUGGUACGCCCCAUCAGAAACUAAAUAAUGUAAGAAGACCGAUAGAGCACAAGUAGUGAGAAGGAAAG